This 2771-nucleotide ribosomal RNA is filed under the name Escherichia coli. Its description in RNAcentral is "partial 23S ribosomal RNA". It matches the Rfam family "Bacterial large subunit ribosomal RNA". The record is from RNAcentral. Lineage: Bacteria; Pseudomonadati; Pseudomonadota; Gammaproteobacteria; Enterobacterales; Enterobacteriaceae.
GGUUAAGCGACUAAGCGUACACGGUGGAUGCCCUGGCAGUCAGAGGCGAUGAAGGACGUGCUAAUCUGCGAUAAGCGUCGGUGAGGUGAUAUGAACCGUUAUAACCGGCGAUUUCCGAAUGGGGAAACCCAGUGUGUUUCGACACACUAUCAUUAACUGAAUCCAUAGGUUAAUGAGGCGAACCGGGGGAACUGAAACAUCUAAGUACCCCGAGGAAAAGAAAUCAACCGAGAUUCCCCCAGUAGCGGCGAGCGAACGGGGAGGAGCCCAGAGCCUGAAUCAGUGUGUGUGUUAGUGGAAGCGUCUGGAAAGGCGCGCGAUACAGGGUGACAGCCCCGUACACAAAAAUGCACAUAUUGUGAGCUCGAUGAGUAGGGCGGGACACGUGGUAUCCUGUCUGAAUAUGGGGGGACCAUCCUCCAAGGCUAAAUACUCCUGACUGACCGAUAGUGAACCAGUACCGUGAGGGAAAGGCGAAAAGAACCCCGGCGAGGGGAGUGAAAAAGAACCUGAAACCGUGUACGUACAAGCAGUGGGAGCCUCUUUAUGGGGUGACUGCGUACCUUUUGUAUAAUGGGUCAGCGACUUAUAUUCUGUAGCAAGGUUAACCGAAUAGGGGAGCCGAAGGGAAACCGAGUCUUAACUGGGCGUUAAGUUGCAGGGUAUAGACCCGAAACCCGGUGAUCUAGCCAUGGGCAGGUUGAAGGUUGGGUAACACUAACUGGAGGACCGAACCGACUAAUGUUGAAAAAUUAGCGGAUGACUUGUGGCUGGGGGUGAAAGGCCAAUCAAACCGGGAGAUAGCUGGUUCUCCCCGAAAGCUAUUUAGGUAGCGCCUCGUGAAUUCAUCUCCGGGGGUAGAGCACUGUUUCGGCAAGGGGGUCAUCCCGACUUACCAACCCGAUGCAAACUGCGAAUACCGGAGAAUGUUAUCACGGGAGACACACGGCGGGUGCUAACGUCCGUCGUGAAGAGGGAAACAACCCAGACCGCCAGCUAAGGUCCCAAAGUCAUGGUUAAGUGGGAAACGAUGUGGGAAGGCCCAGACAGCCAGGAUGUUGGCUUAGAAGCAGCCAUCAUUUAAAGAAAGCGUAAUAGCUCACUGGUCGAGUCGGCCUGCGCGGAAGAUGUAACGGGGCUAAACCAUGCACCGAAGCUGCGGCAGCGACACUAUGUGUUGUUGGGUAGGGGAGCGUUCUGUAAGCCUGUGAAGGUGGCCUGUGAGGGUUGCUGGAGGUAUCAGAAGUGCGAAUGCUGACAUAAGUAACGAUAAAGCGGGUGAAAAGCCCGCUCGCCGGAAGACCAAGGGUUCCUGUCCAACGUUAAUCGGGGCAGGGUGAGUCGACCCCUAAGGCGAGGCCGAAAGGCGUAGUCGAUGGGAAACAGGUUAAUAUUCCUGUACUUGGUGUUACUGCGAAGGGGGGACGGAGAAGGCUAUGUUGGCCGGGCGACGGUUGUCCCGGUUUAAGCGUGUAGGCUGGUUUUCCAGGCAAAUCCGGAAAACCAAGGCUGAGGCGUGAUGACGAGGCACUACGGUGCUGAAGCGACAAAUGCCCUGCUUCCAGGAAAAGCCUCUAAGCAUCAGGUAACAUCAAAUCGUACCCCAAACCGACACAGGUGGUCAGGUAGAGAAUACCAAGGCGCUUGAGAGAACUCGGGUGAAGGAACUAGGCAAAAUGGUGCCGUAACUUCGGGAGAAGGCACGCUGAUAUGUAGGUGAAGCGACUUGCUCGUGGAGCUGAAAUCAGUCGAAGAUACCAGCUGGCUGCAACUGUUUAUUAAAAACACAGCACUGUGCAAACACGAAAGUGGACGUAUACGGUGUGACGCCUGCCCGGUGCCGGAAGGUUAAUUGAUGGGGUUAGCGGUAACGCGAAGCUCUUGAUCGAAGCCCCGGUAAACGGCGGCCGUAACUAUAACGGUCCUAAGGUAGCGAAAUUCCUUGUCGGGUAAGUUCCGACCUGCACGAAUGGCGUAAUGAUGGCCAGGCUGUCUCCACCCGAGACUCAGUGAAAUUGAACUCGCUGUGAAGAUGCAGUGUACCCGCGGCAAGACGGAAAGACCCCGUGAACCUUUACUAUAGCUUGACACUGAACAUUGAGCCUUGAUGUGUAGGAUAGGUGGGAGGCUUUGAAGUGUGGACGCCAGUCUGCAUGGAGCCGACCUUGAAAUACCACCCUUUAAUGUUUGAUGUUCUAACGUUGGCCCGUAAUCCGGGUUGCGGACAGUGUCUGGUGGGUAGUUUGACUGGGGCGGUCUCCUCCUAAAGAGUAACGGAGGAGCACGAAGGUUGGCUAAUCCUGGUCGGACAUCAGGAGGUUAGUGCAAUGGCAUAAGCCAGCUUGACUGCGAGCGUGACGGCGCGAGCAGGUGCGAAAGCAGGUCAUAGUGAUCCGGUGGUUCUGAAUGGAAGGGCCAUCGCUCAACGGAUAAAAGGUACUCCGGGGAUAACAGGCUGAUACCGCCCAAGAGUUCAUAUCGACGGCGGUGUUUGGCACCUCGAUGUCGGCUCAUCACAUCCUGGGGCUGAAGUAGGUCCCAAGGGUAUGGCUGUUCGCCAUUUAAAGUGGUACGCGAGCUGGGUUUAGAACGUCGUGAGACAGUUCGGUCCCUAUCUGCCGUGGGCGCUGGAGAACUGAGGGGGGCUGCUCCUAGUACGAGAGGACCGGAGUGGACGCAUCACUGGUGUUCGGGUUGUCAUGCCAAUGGCACUGCCCGGUAGCUAAAUGCGGAAGAGAUAAGUGCUGAAAGCAUCUAAGCACGAAACUUGC